UGCACCGGAAGUGGCAUUAGAACCGGAUGUGUAUGAGCGGCGUCACUGUGUUUUGGUAGUGGUGGUGGUGUUUUUUAUUGCAGAGGAAUUGAAUUAAACUUACAGAUUGAUGUCGUUUGGUGAAACUCAGAACAGCGGGCGGCGUAGUAAAUGGGACCAGGCUGCACCGUCCUCUGGUGCUCUGGAUGCUGCUGCUGCCGUCGCUGCCAAAAUCAACGCCAUGCUGGUGGCUAAAGGCAAACUGAACCCAGCACAGAUCAACACACACACACCCGGGGACACGGCUGCAGGAGGAGGUGCUAAGAGCUCGGUGAAAGCGAGAGAUGACCUGGUGGUGGCUGAGGUGGAGAUAAACGAUGUACCACUCACUUGCAGGAAUCUACUGACCCGAGGACAAACACAGGACGAGAUCAGCAGGGUGAGUGGGGCAGCCGUGUCCACCAGAGGGCGCUUCAUGACUGCAGAGGAGAAGACUAAAGCUCUGCCCAGCGACCGUCCACUCUACCUCCACGUCCAAGGCCAAACCAGAGAGCUUGUGGACAAGGCUGUAAACAGGAUUAAGGAGCUCAUCACUAAUGGAGUGGUUAAAGCGGCAGUGUCUCAGCCCCCUCCCUCCAUGCUGCCUCCAUCAGGACCCAAACCUCACUGCGCUGGGGUGAAGGUGUUUGUGGGAUUGGACCAUGCUCUUCCUGGUUUCUCAGUGAAGGAAAGGGUGGAGGGACCGAACUGUUCUUACCUACAGCACAUUCAAAAUGAGACAGGUGCCAAGCUCUUCCUGCGGGGUCAAAGGUCAGGCUGCAUUGAGCCGGCGUCGGGGAGAGAGGCCUUCGAGCCCAUGCACAUCUAUAUCAGUCACCCCAAACCAGAGGGAGUCACUGCUGCUAAGACCCUGUGUGAGAACCUGCUGCAGACUGUACAUGCAGAGUAUUCUCGCUACCUGAGUGAAAUGAGUGCUGUGAUGCCCACGCAAGGUUUCCUCCCCCCUCCUGGGGUAAAUGGAAUGCCCCAGUAUUACCCCCCUAUUGUGCCCCCUGCGGCCCCAGCGCCCAAUCAUUACCCUCUUCCCCCUCCAACAGUAGUGCCCACAGUAGUGCCCACUGUAGCACCCGAGCCCACAGUGCCCCCUACUGCCCCGUACCACAUCACACACCCGCUCACGGCUAAUCUCGCACAGCCCCUCCCACCAGCAGUGUACCCACUUGUGGCUCCACCCCAACAUAUGACUCUAUCCCCAGUCAAACCUGCAGCUCCACCCCCUUCCAAGCCUGUGUCUCAGACAAAAUCAGUGGCUCCGCCCCCUGCACAGAAACGGCGCUUCACAGAGGAAGUGCCUGAGGAGAGUGAUAAUGGCCUGCUGGGAUACCAGCAUGGACCCAUUCAUGUGACUAAUUUAGGUUCAGGCUUCUCAGUGGGCAGCCCCGAGACUGCAGGACCCCAACACAACAUUUCUACUUCCUGUGGGGAGAGACCAGAGAGAGACAGUAGGCAGAUGAUGCCCCCACUACCCCUACCACUGAGCAGUGGAAUGAGAGAGCAGAAAAGUGAGGAGAGACUACACAGCUCCCUGGAUCCUCAGGUAAAGCGCAUCAGGACGGGGUUGGUAUCGUACUCUGGUGAUUCUUCUGAUGAAGAGGAGGAGCUUGCAUCUCAGAAAGUGGGUGAGGCCAGUGUGGCUGGCUCCUCCCCUUCAACAUGGACUGCUGGGACAUUCAGAUGCCCUGCCCCCUCUCAGCCACACCUCAAAACACAGACCACACAGUCAAUGCCUUUCUGGAUGGCGCCAUGAGAGGGAGGUGUAACACACACACACACACACACAUGCGCACGCGCACACACAUACACAUGCGCACACACACGCGCACACACACAGAAACACACUGGUGACAUUAUUAGUAGCUUUUCUUUUCUCUAGAUAUAUUGCACAGGAGACGCACAGCAGUGUGUUAGUACUAUCAUUUAAGAUUGGUUGAUCAAACGUGUCAAACUUAACUCCACCUUAGUCGACCCAGAGACACCUGUUACAUGGCAACAUCAACACACACACACACAUACUUCUGUUUCUCUCUGCAGUUUUGCUUACAGUGAGCAGGCACAAAGACUGAUUGAUGUGACAGGAAACGAUGUAACAGGCAGGAAGUGAUGUACAGGUGUAAAGUAAUGAACUGGACAGUCGGAGCCUGGAGCCAGGUAGGAGCAGGUACGUCAGGUAACUACAAGCAUGUACAUUUAACAUGGUGCAUUCACAACACUAACAUAAUUACUAUGAUCAAGUUUUCACAUCGUUUUAACUGUCUAAACCCACAACUUAUCUGUGUGCCUCACACAAUGUUUGUGACUGUCUCAGUCUCAUUGUCUGUCUUAUUGUCUCACUCUGUCUCUCACAUACUCCCUCACUGUCUUAUUUAUCAAACACUGUCUCUCUUUCAUGGUCUGUCUCAUUCUUCCACUGUCUGUCUCCUGGUCUCUGUGCCAUGGUUGUUAUCAAAAGUACAACCCCUGGCAACAGUUAUGUUAUAUCUCCACACUUACAGGAUGCUCACCAAGCUUUUUUACUUUUUAGCAAAUAAACAAUCACACACAUGACUCAGUCAUUUUUGGAUAAUAGCUGAAUGUUCUGACUAAUGAAAACAAUAUUCUACAUCAAACUUUCUCAAAUAGCAGUUGACAUGAGUUUUGGAGAAUGGAGCCUUGUUGUGGACCAAUCUUUUAAAUUGACACCAUAACCUUCUACACUCCUCUACACAUGUUUACACACUUUCAAACAUCUCACAACACCUCUGUAUACCUCUUCACAGCCCUCUACACACAUCUCUACACAUCUCUUCAUACCUCUACACAGCCUGCUACAUACCUCUCCAUAUGUCUACGAACCUCUCCACAACUUUCUUUUCAAUAACUUUUAGACUGAGUUACACAUGUAAAACCAAAUGCACUCGGAUGGAAUCUGCGAUCUGUUCUAUUAUUGUGAUCAACAAAACGCAACAUACCAAACUAUUAUUAAUAAUAUUUUAUGAAACAGGUUUUGACAGAUCCUGAUGACCUGCAGUUAGAAACUGUUCUUCAGUCAGUUGGUUCUGAAUUGAAUGCUUGUUGUUAUAUUUCUUCAUUUGAGUCUUAAAUAACUUAUGUUACCCACCUGACCCUCUACCUAUGAACAUCUGGAUGUAUCUUUGGCUGUGUAAUCUCUUUUUUUGAUUUGAUGGAAACACUUUCAUUGCUGAAACCUCUUAAAUAAAAACAAUGAGACCAACAUAGUGUGUCUACACACACUAUGUUGGAGAGUUGCAUGUUAAGAAUAUGUGUACAUGUGCAUGAUGGUGUCUGUGUAUUUGAUCACAUGUAUGUGAAUGUUCAUGAGUCUGAGUGUGAAAGUGCUCUCUAUACCACGGCUCCCUCAAUAAAACAAUUUCAAAUAAUAAAUUAGUCAGUAAAAUUGUGACACUACACGGGUUGGUAUAGAAAUGAGAUGGUUCAAUUGCAAAUGUAAACUCACGUAUCAUGGUUCAUACAGAAACACACCUACAUGGACUGAGUUGACAUCCUCCUUACCAGUCUCACGCAACAUAAAAUGAUUUAGGCAGUGGCUUCAUGAACAUUAUGGGAUGCUUGACUAUUGUCAAGGGCCUCCUUAAAAUGACUUGGGUUGCGACAAAGGGCUUUGUGAACAUCAUUAAAGGACACUUGAUUUGUUUUCAUGGUCAUCUAUAGUAUCGUUGAUGCC
This is an RNA transcript of Ictalurus punctatus (channel catfish), 3721 nucleotides long. It is a transcript of the gene named KH domain containing 4, pre-mRNA splicing factor, with no coding region annotated. The transcript has 14 exons. NCBI's taxonomy places the organism in Eukaryota, Metazoa, Chordata, Actinopteri, Siluriformes, Ictaluridae. The record is from RefSeq and is a predicted model, not a curated record.